CUUGAUCGACCCCAGCCACAGCGGCCGCCCGCGGUCCUUGCCGUACGUGGCGAGCAACGCCUGCGCCUC
This 69-nucleotide antisense RNA is filed under the name Kutzneria buriramensis. RNAcentral's name for it is "ASpks TB sRNA". It matches the Rfam family "ASpks TB sRNA". Lineage: Bacteria; Bacillati; Actinomycetota; Actinomycetes; Pseudonocardiales; Pseudonocardiaceae. The record is from RNAcentral.